This is a long non-coding RNA of Acanthochromis polyacanthus (spiny chromis), 3190 nucleotides long. RefSeq lists it as uncharacterized. The record is from RefSeq and is a predicted model, not a curated record. The transcript has 6 exons. NCBI's taxonomy places the organism in Eukaryota, Metazoa, Chordata, Actinopteri, Pomacentridae.
GUAUGGCGUCCAGAAUGUGGAAAAAAGUCAUGAGUCGUACGUCAUCCAAAAUGUGGAAAAAAAGUCAUAGUUUAGUAUGUCGUCCAAAAUGUGGAAAAAAAACGUCAUAAUUUAGUAUGUCGUCCAAAAUGUCACAAUUUAGAAUGUCGUGCAAAAUGUGGAAAAAACGUCAUAGUUUAGUAUGUCGUCCAAAAUGUGGAAAAAAAAAAGUCACAUUUUCGUAUGUCGUCCAAAAUGUAGAAAAAAAAAUGUCAUAGUUUAGUAUGUCGUCCAAAAUGUCACAAUUUAGUAUGUCGUGCAAAAUGUGGAAAAAACGUCAUAGUUUAGUAUGUCGUCCAAAAUGUGGAAAAAAAAGAUGUCAUAGUUUAGUAUGUCGUCCAAAAUGUCACAAUUUAGUAUGUUGUGCAAAAUGUGGAAAAAACGUCAUAGUUUAGUAUGUCGUCCAAAAUGUCACAAUUUAGUAUGUCGUGCAAAAUGUGGAAUAAACGUCAUAGUUUACUAUGUCGUCCAAAAUGUGGAAAAAAAAAAUGUCAUAGUUUCGUAUGUUGCCCAAAAUGUGGAAAAAAAAAUGUCAUAGUUUCGUAUGUCGUCCAAAAUGUCACAAUUUAGUAUGUCGUGCAAAAUGUGGAAAAAACGUCAUAGUUUAGUAUGUCGUCCAAAAUGUGGAAAAAAAGUCAUAGUUCAGGAUGUCAUCCAAAAUGUCACAAUUUAGAAUGUCGUGCAAAAUGUGGAAAAAAACGUCACAGUUUAGUAUGUCGUCCAAAAUGUAGAAAAAAACGUCAUAGUUUAGUAUGUCGUCCAAAAUGUCACAAUUUAGAAUGUCGUGCAAAAUGUGGAAAAAACAUCAUAGUUUAGUAUGUCGUCCAAAAUUUUGAAAAAAGGUCAUAGUUUAGUAUGUUGUCCAAAUCGUGGAAAAAAAGGUCAUAGUUUAGUAUGGCGUCCAGAAUGUGGAAAAGUCAUAGUUUAGUAUGUUGUCCAAAAUGUCACAAUUUAGAAUGUCGUGCAAAAUGUGGAAAAAACGUCAUAGUUUAGUAUGUCGUCCAAAAACGUCAUAGUUUAGUAUGUCGUCCAAAAUGUGGAAAAAAUGUCAUAGUUUAGUAUGUCGUCCAAAAUGUGGAAAAAAAGGUGAUAGUUUAGUAUGUCGUCCAAAAUGUCACAAUUUAGAAUGUCGUGCAAAAUGUGGAAAAAAACGUCAUAGUUUAGUAUGGCGUCCAGAAUGUGGAAAAAAGUCAUGAGUCGUACGUCAUCCAAAAUGUGGAAAAAAAGUCAUAGUUUAGUAUGUCGUCCAAAAUGUGGAAAAAAACGUCAUAGUUUAGUAUGUCGUCCAAUAUGUCACAAUUUAGUAUGUCGUGCAAAAUGUGGAAAAAACGUCAUAGUUUAGUAUGUCGUCCAAAAUGUGGAAAAAACGUCAUAGUUUAGUAUGUCGUCCAAAAUGUCACAAUUUAGUAUGUCGUGCAAAAUGUGGAAUAAACGUCAUAGUUUACUAUGUCGUCCAAAAUGUGGAAAAAAAAAAAUGUCAUAGUUUCGUAUGUUGCCCAAAAUGUGGAAAAAAAAAAUGUCAUAGUUUCGUAUGUCGUCCAAAAUGUCACAAUUUAGUAUGUCAUGCAAAAUGUGGAAAAAACGUCAUAGUUUAGUAUGUCGUCCAAAAUGUGGAAAAAAAGUCAUAGUUUAGUAUGUCAUCCAAAAUGUCACAAUUUAGAAUGUCGUGCAAAAUGUGGAAAAAAACGUCACAGUUUAGUAUGUCGUCCAAAAUGUGGAAAAAAAGGUCAUAGUUUAGUAUGUCGUCCAAAAUGUCACAAUUUAGAAUGUCGUGCAAAAUGUGGAAAAAACAUCAUAGUUUAGUAUGUCGUCCAAAAUUUUGAAAAAAGGUCAUAGUUUAGUAUGUUGUCCAAAUCGUGGAAAAAAAGGUCAUAGUUUAGUAUGGCGUCCAGAAUGUGGAAAAAAGUCAUAGUUUAGUAUGUUGUCCAAAAUGUCACAAUUUAGAAUGUCGUGCAAAAUGUGGAAAAAACGUCAUAGUUUAGUAUGUCGUCCAAAAACGUCAUAGUUUAGUAUGUCGUCCAAAAUGUGGAAAAAAUGUCAUAGUUUAGUAUGUCGUCCAAAAUGUGGAAAAAAAGGUGAUAGUUUAGUAUGUCGUCCAAAAUGUCACAAUUUAGUAUGUCGUGCAAAAUGUGGAAUAAACGUCAUAGUUUACUAUGUCGUCCAAAAUGUGGAAAAAAAAAAAUGUCAUAGUUUCGUAUGUUGCCCAAAAUGUGGAAAAAAAAAAUGUCAUAGUUUCGUAUGUCGUCCAAAAUGUCACAAUUUAGUAUGUCAUGCAAAAUGUGGAAAAAACGUCAUAGUUUAGUAUGUCGUCCAAAAUGUGGAAAAAAAAUGUCAUAGUUUAGUAUGUCGUCCAAAAUGUGGAAAAAACGUCAUAGUUUAGUAUGUCGUCCAAAAUUUUGAAAAAAGGUCAUAGUUUAGUAUGUUGUCCAAAUCGUGGAAAAAAAGGUCAUAGUUUAGUAUGUCGUCCAAUAUGUCACAAUUUAGUAUGUCGUGCAAAAUGUGGAAAAAACGUCAUAGUUUAGUAUGUCGUCCAAAAUGUGGAAAAAACGUCAUAGUUUAGUAUGUCGUCCAAAAUGUCACAAUUUAGUAUGUCGUGCAAAAUGUGGAAUAAACGUCAUAGUUUACUAUGUCGUCCAAAAUGUGGAAAAAAAAAAUGUCAUAGUUUCGUAUGUUGCCCAAAAUGUGGAAAAAAAAAUGUCAUAGUUUCGUAUGUCGUCCAAAAUGUCACAAUUUAGUAUGUCAUGCAAAAUGUGGAAAAAACGUCAUAGUUUAGUAUGUCGUCCAAAAUGUGGAAAAAAAGUCAUAGUUUAGUAUGUCAUCCAAAAUGUCACAAUUUAGAAUGUCGUGCAAAAUGUGGAAAAAAACGUCACAGUUUAGUAUGUCGUCCAAAAUGUGGAAAAAAAGGUCAUAGUUUAGUAUGUCGUCCAAAAUGUCACAAUUUAGAAUGUCGUGCAAAAUGUGGAAAAAACAUCAUAGUUUAGUAUGUCGUCCAAAAUUUUGAAAAAAGGUCAUAGUUUAGUAUGUUGUCCAAAUCGUGGAAAAAAAGGUCAUAGUUUAGUAUGUCGUCCAAUAUGUCACAAUUUAGUAUGUCGUGCAAAAUGUGGAAAAAACGUCAUAGUUUAGUAUGUCGUCCAAAAUGUGGAAAAAAAAA